Molecule: ribosomal RNA, 434 nt
Filed under: uncultured Lachnospiraceae bacterium
Lineage: Bacteria; Bacillati; Bacillota; Clostridia; Lachnospirales; Lachnospiraceae
Description: partial 16S ribosomal RNA
Rfam family: Bacterial small subunit ribosomal RNA
Source: RNAcentral
ACGGAAGGCAGCAGUGGGGAAUAUUGCACAAUGGGCGAAAGCCUGAUGCAGCGACGCCGCGUGAGUGAAGAAGUAUCUCGGUAUGUAAAGCUCUAUCAGCAGGGAAGAAAAUGACGGUACCUGACUAAGAAGCCCCGGCUAACUACGUGCCAGCAGCCGCGGUAAUACGUAGGGGGCAAGCGUUAUCCGGAUUUACUGGGUGUAAAGGGAGCGUAGACGGUUUGGCAAGUCUGAAGUGAAACGCGGGGGCUCAACUCCUGAACUGCUUUGGAAACUGUCGAACUAGAGUGCAGGAGAGGUAAGUGGAAUUCCUAGUGUAGCGGUGAAAUGCGUAGAUAUUAGGAGGAACACCAGUGGCGAAGGCGGCUUACUGGACUGUAACUGACGUUGAGGCUCGAAAGCGUGGGGAGCAAACAGGAUUAGAUACCCUGGUA